ACCACUACUACAAAAUUGAGCUUAAGUAACACCCACUGGUAACACUUUAAAAAAAUUUCAUGAUUGUUUGAUUUUUACGUAACCCUUUAGUAACAUUGUGGUAUUAGGUAACAUUUUUUGUAACACUUUAAUAUUAGGUAACACUUUAUUGUAACACUUUGAUAUUAGGUAACACUUUAUUGUAACACUUAAUUUUUUUUUAUCUAUUAUUUUUUUGUAAGAAAACACUUAAUUUAAUAUGCUCAAUUUUUUUUUAACUAAAAUCAACCCUCACAGUCACAACCUCACGACUUUCUUCCCCCUCGUAUUUCUCCAACCCUCAAUUAAGCUUUGACCGUCUCUUUACGCUGCACCUCCUUACCUCUGCUUCCACCGCAAUCACCUUCUCAGAAAUUAAAUCAAUCAACCUUUCCAUCGAUUUUCAUUCACCAUUGACAACGAAGCUCGAAAUCAAUGGAGGACAUUAUCUCUCCUUCCGAUAAGCAGGUCAUGGUCUCCAAAUUCCUCGAGAUCGCUGUUGGCCAGAGUGCCGAUACGGUCCGCCAAUUCUUGUAGGUUUUAAUUCCUAUUCUGAAACCAACUGGAUACACCAGUGCUGAUCCUUAUAAAAUGGGAGUGAGAACCAUGAGAUAGAGCAUUGGAAGUUCAGAGACAAUGGAAACAAAUUUUUGUUAAAACAUGC
This is a long non-coding RNA of Chenopodium quinoa (quinoa), 682 nucleotides long. RefSeq lists it as uncharacterized. The transcript is spliced from 3 exons. The record is from RefSeq and is a predicted model, not a curated record. Lineage: Eukaryota; Viridiplantae; Streptophyta; Magnoliopsida; Caryophyllales; Amaranthaceae.